UACGUAGGGGGCAAGCGUUGUUCGGAAUGACUGGGCGUAAAGGGUGCGUAGGCGGUGUAGCAAGUUAGAAGUGAAAUACCUAGAGCUUAACUCAGGUGCUGCUUCUAAAACUGCUAUACUUGAGUGCAGUAGAGGAAAGUGGAAUUCCUAGUGUAGCGGUGGAAUGCGUAGAUAUUAGGAAGAACAUCAGUGGCGAAGGCGACUUUCUGGACUGUAACUGACGCUGAGGCACGAAAGUGUGGGGAGCAAACAGG
Molecule: ribosomal RNA, 254 nt
Filed under: uncultured bacterium
Lineage: Bacteria
Description: partial 16S ribosomal RNA
Rfam family: Bacterial small subunit ribosomal RNA
Source: RNAcentral